Molecule: transfer RNA, 76 nt
Filed under: Bacillota bacterium
Lineage: Bacteria; Bacillati; Bacillota
Also listed under: 1 other name
Description: Firmicutes bacterium (anaerobic digester metagenome) tRNA-Glu
Rfam family: tRNA
About the family: Transfer RNA (tRNA) molecules are approximately 80 nucleotides in length. Their secondary structure includes four short double-helical elements and three loops (D, anti-codon, and T loops).
Source: RNAcentral
GCCCCCAUCGUCUAGAGGCCUAGGACACCGCCCUUUCACGGCGAAGGCACCGGUUCGAAUCCGGUUGGGGGUACCA